Molecule: transfer RNA, 67 nt
Filed under: Phalacridae gen. sp. MJ-2020
Lineage: Eukaryota; Metazoa; Arthropoda; Insecta; Coleoptera; Phalacridae
Description: tRNA-Ile
Source: RNAcentral
AAUAUUGUGCCUGAAAAAAGGGUUAUUUUGAUAGAAUAAAUUAUACAGAAGCAUUCUGUCAAUAUUA